This 240-nucleotide unclassified non-coding RNA is filed under the name soil metagenome. RNAcentral describes it as "partial contains 5.8S ribosomal RNA, internal transcribed spacer 2, and large subunit ribosomal RNA". The record is from RNAcentral.
AAGACUAUAGACCUGCGGAGUACCUGCGGAAGGAUCAUUACUGAGUGAGGGCCCUCUGGGUCCAACCUCCCACCCGUGUUUAACGAACCUUGUUGCUUCGGCGGGCCCGCCUCACGGCCGCCGGGGGGCAUCCGCCCCCGGGCCCGCGCCCGCCGAAGACACCUGUGAACUCUGUCUGAAGUUGCAGUCUGAGAAACUAUUUAAAUUAGUUAAAACUUUCAACAACGGAUCUCUAGAUCG